CCUACGGGCGGCUGCAGUAAGGAAUAUUGGACAAUGCCCGCAAGGGUGAUCCAGCCAUGCCGCGUGCAGGAAGACGGACCUAUGGUUUGUAAACUGCUUUUGAACAAGAGAAAACCCCCUUACGUGUAAGGGGCUGAUAGUAUUGUUAGAAUAAGCAUCGGCUAACUUCGUGCCAGCAGCCGCGGUAAGACGAAGGAUGCAAGCGUCAUCCGGAUUCAUUGGGGUGUAGGGGAGCGUAGGAGUCUGGGGUGAAAUCUUCUCGCUUAACGAGAAAACGGCCAUUGAUACUGUCAAGCUUGAGUACAGUUGCCGUUGGCGGAAUAUGACAUGUAGUGGUGAAAUACAUAGAGAUGUCAUAGAACACCGAUUGCGAAGGCAGCUAACGAAACUGUAACUGACGCUGAGGCUCGAAAGUGCGGGGACCAAACAGGAUUAGAUACCCCGGUAGUC
This 450-nucleotide ribosomal RNA is filed under the name uncultured bacterium. RNAcentral's name for it is "partial 16S ribosomal RNA". It matches the Rfam family "Bacterial small subunit ribosomal RNA", at positions 338 to 795 of the family's 1533-position model. The record is from RNAcentral.